Oreochromis niloticus (Nile tilapia) is the source of this 5071-nucleotide long non-coding RNA. The record is from Ensembl. Lineage: Eukaryota; Metazoa; Chordata; Actinopteri; Cichliformes; Cichlidae.
AGGAAAAAGCACCCCAGUACGGUGUACAUUUUAGGACAUCGUCAGGUCUCAGGAAAAAAGUUGUCAGGUCUCAGGAAAAAAGUUGUCAGGUAUCAGUCUCACACGAAAAAUUGUCAGGUCUCAGGAAAAAAGGUGUCAGGUCUCAGGAAAAAAGUUGUCAGGUCUCAGACUCACACGAAAAAUUGUCAGGUCUCAGACUCAGACGGAAAAAUUGUCAGGUCUCAGAAUCACACGAAAAAUUGUCAGGUCUCAGAAUCACACGAAAAAUUGUCAGGUCUCAGACUCACUCGAAAAAUUGUCAGGUCUCAGACUCAGACGGAAAAAUGUCAGGUCUCAGAACACGAGCUAUCAGACAGAGAGAAAAACUUCCUGCAGGUGGCGCUGUUGUCACGUCCCACCAAUGACUGUAGUGACAGCUGCAGUCACGGAGAAACUUGCGUAUCUCUGUUCGGGAAUAGCAGAUAGAGCGUAGGCUCUGAGAGGCGGGCCAGCGUUUACGCUUCGUAAACACGACCGAGUGUUUUAACCUGACAGCCUGAGGUGUUCUUCAGUAAACUGGACUACCCGACAGAAGGACCCGAGGCCCCGCUGCACUGUUUCGGUAAGUUAAAUGUGUUUGUAAGCUAAUCCGUAACUACCGUCCUUAGCUAGGUCCUGAGACCUAGCCUAGCUAGCUAAGAUGUCAGGGUUCGUUUAGCUAAUCUGUGCAGGUGAAUGCAUUUACUAAAGAAAUCAAGAGAAACGCCCCGGGCUACUCAGUCACUAAUUACUGUUACUGUACUUUUAUUAUUAUACUGUAAAAGCAACAGGCUGCACCCUGCUUCAGCUCCAGUGCAGAGCUGAAUAUUAAAGAUGUGCAAACAACAGCAUGUUUUCAGUCUCUUGCCACAUCUGUAAAGACAGUAACAUCUUUUUUAAAAGCUUGUACUUCAGUAACUCCUCAUUAAUCAGGAACUAUGGAUUAAAGUACUGUAGUCUACUGUAAUACUGAAAAAAUGUAAGAGAAGAACUUCAGAUCCUGAGUGUGUGAGGACAGAAGAAUCAGCUUCAUUUCAAUUUUGAGGGAUAAAAUUUAUAUCUGAGUUUGAUGGUUCUGUUCUCUUUGUGAUUACAGGAGCUGCCCUCAGAUUCAGACCUCAGCACCAUCGAGUGACAGCAGACAGAUCAUCCAACAUGUUAACUGCAAAAUGAACUGAUGAAAACAGUACAAAGGUUAAAGUACCACACGUGCUGUAGUGAAAGCUGCAGCUUUAUUGAUAAAGUUAAAAACAAAAAAAACAAAAGGAUUAAUCACUCAUGUAACUGUGUCACUAUAUAUCAGCAUUAACAGGACCUCAGUUUGUAUCUCAGACCUGCACAGCUUCCGUUUUAAACACUUGAUGUACUCAGCUGCAUGAAGAGCAUAUGAGAUUUUGUCUAACACAAUUAAAUAAAACCUGAUGAAGGCCAAAGGUCAUCAUGUUGAAUGUUGUAGUAUGUUGAACUACAAACUUGUGAUCUGGAAUUCUUUCACAGUUUUUUGCAGAUUGUGUGUUAUUUACCGUAAAGUGAUUCAGAGUUAUUCAUACCAGAGUGACCAGAGAGGAUCACAUAUUUUUAAAUAUAUAACUUUCUACAGGACUGAAUAUAAUAUCUUUAUAUAAAAGUCUGGAGCCUUUGGGGAGUAUCCGAGUAUUUAUAACAUUACACAAACCAAAGGUCUCCAUCACAGUGUUCAUGAAAUGCUGGGUUUAUCCAUCUCCUGGAGCGGGCCUACGGAGGAGUGCUGAAGAUUUCCCUGUGAGGGAGCUGCUGGUGAAGAUCAUGAGUCCUGCUUGAUCAAUGCGAUGAGCUUCAGUGUUCCUGGUGUUUCUUAAAUGAUGCCUUUUUAAGUAGGUCAACAGAACUUCUGGCACAGGACAGCUGUGAUGAAAGAAAGGGAAGAAGUUUCUCCAAACUUCUGGACACAGGAAACCCAGCUUGGUCCUGAUGGUCUCCCUCACUAGGUUCUCUCCAGGGUGAAUGUAGCUGUUGAUAUAAUAUGGAUUAUUAUUAAAUGAAAAGAACAAAUUAGACUACAUUACUGACACGUUCUGCUGAUGUUUUUAAAGUCUCCAUGUUACCAGGAUGUAGAGGGCUCUGAAGAUUUAAACAGUUUUAGAUCCAUUACACUCACAGUCUUAUAUUUUUUAUAUUAACAGUAACUCUGGGGCUCUGUAGAGUGUGCAGAUGAUCUCAUCGCUGUCUAAAAAUGUAUAACAAAACCCUAAGAAGUGCUGAAUCCUUCAAUAACACAGACUAUUAGAGUAGCAGGUGUGUAGCAUUGCUAACUAGCUAGCAACAAGCCUCCAACACAGUGCGUAUGCUAGCAACUAAUCUAGCAAACGAAUUAACAACAGAGCGAUUUUAGAACUAUAAGAUACGGAAGCGUAGAGCUGCCACCCAGGCAAAAGAAAAAUAGAAGUAUAUCACGUUAUAACGUGAAAAGUUUAUUGUUCUAACAAGAUACUUUUCAUGUUUGUACAAUAUACUAUCAUGUUUGUACAAUAUACUGCUAUGUUUGUACAAUAUACUUUUGACGUUUGGACAAUAUAAUAUCACGUUAUUACAAUAUGCAUAAUUAUCACGUUCGUACAAUAUAAAUAUCACGUUCGUACAAUAUAAAUAUUAUAUGAUAUUUAUGAUAUAUUGUAAUAACGUGAUAUUGUGUUGUUCAAACGUCAAAAGUAUAUUGUACAAACAUGAAAAGUAUCUUGUUAGAACAAUAAACUUUUCACGUUAUAACGUGAUAUACUUCUAUUUUUCUUUUGCCUGGGUGGCAGCUCUACGCUUCCGUAAUAAGACGAUAAACUGUGUGUCUUUUUUUUAUAUAACAGUGACAUGGUUGUAUUUACCUUAAUUAAACGAGUCGUCAGUCGUGGUAAACCAGCAAAAAAAACCUCGAGCAGCCGGGCUAAGUAAAAAGUGUAGGGGGGCGUGUUUGCGGUCACCAGCGGGUGUGUGGGCGGGAGCGUUACACAUUCGCUCCACCUCAAGUCACUACUCCAAAUUUGCAAGAUGGCAGCCUCCAUCUGAGUCUGAGACCUGACAAUUUUUCGUGUGAGUCUGAGACCUGACAAUUUUUCAUGUGAUUCUGAGACCUGACAAUUUUUCGUGUGAGUCUGAGACCUGACAAUUUUUCGUGUGAGUCUGAGACCUGACAAUUUUUCGUGUGAGUCUGAGACCUGACAAUUUUUCGUGUGAUUCUGAGACCUGACAUUUUUCCGUCUGAGUCUGAGACCUGACAAUUUUUCGUGUGAGUCUGAGACCUGACAAUUUUUCGUGUGAUUCUGAGACCUGACAUUUUUUCGUGUGAGACUGAUACCUGACAACUUUUUUCCUGAGACCUGACGAUGUCCUAAAAUGUACACCGUACCCCAGACCAUUAUGGCGCCCUCCCCACUGUGGCAAGUAGAAAACAUUUCAGGUGGGAUCUGCUUGUCAUGCCACUAAUGUUAGAAACCAUCAGGACUAUCAAGGUUACAUUGUUUCUCAUCAGAGAAUAAAACUUUGUUCCACCUUUCAGUGUCCCAUGUUUGGAGCUCUCUUGCAAAGUCCAAAUGGUGAGUUCUUUGCAGUUCAAGGAGACGAGGCCUUUGAAGACGUUUUUUGUUUUUGAAGCCCUUCAGUCUCAGAUGCCACAUGAUGGUUAUGGGGUUGCAGUGGGCACCAGUAAUGGCCUUAAUUUGGGUCAAGGAUCGUCCAGUGUCUUGACAGAUAGCCAAUUGCAUCCUCCAGUUCAGUGCUGGUGAAAUUUUUGGGGGUCUUCCAUUAGACUUUUUUGUUUCAUAACCCUCAGGAUCAUUUAGGAAAUUGUCGUACUGCGUCUUACUUCAGCAUCGCUGCUAAAGUGAGACGCGCUGCUUAUGCAGUUCAACAACACGACCACGUUCAAAACGGGAAAGUUUUUUUGCCUUUGCCAUCAGAACGUCAUGACAGUGUGACUACCUGACAGAAGAUAACGAACAGUGUUGGUCAAGUUACUUGAAAAAAGUAAUCAGUAACUAAUUACUGAUUACUUCCCCAAAAAAGUAAUGCCGUUACUUUACUGAUUACUUAUUUUCAAAAGUAAUUAAUUACUUAGUUACUUUUUAAAAACACGAUUUACAACCUGAAUAGGUAAUAAAGCGAUAGAUCUUUCAGCCCAGUUCUACUUUUUCUGCAUAAUUCAUCAUACAAAAUGUAAUCAAAUGGAAAAGUCUCUUUUUAAAACUUGUUUUAUUAGUUUUAAUCUUUUAACUUUAUGCAUCAAGCAAAAAUUAAAUUAUAUGCAACAUUCUCUGACUGGAAGAAAUUUGUUUAACAUUUAAACCUAUUUUCUCCACAUUCCAGCACAUAAAAUAAAAUAUUUUUUUGUGUUUACACUCGCUCUUUCAAAUAGAUGCAAGUAAAACACAGCAGAAAAUAAAUAAAAUCAAAGACUCAGCGGUCCUGUUGCACUAUUUUCACCUAUAAAGCAGGAGUGGGUUAGGCGGAGGUUUACCCUGGUGCAGGUGUGCUGCAGCGGUCAGUGGAAGAAUCCACGAGUUUCUCUGUGAAUUUCACAUUACGUUGUAGCGCACUCGGUGCUUGCUUGGAAGUUUAGGGGUUUAAAAAGAUUUUUCUUCCCACGCAGUGAACAGUGGACACUAAUGUUUUUGUCACUUUUUAUGGAAUCAAACUCAAAGUAAGGUCAGUACUUCCACGCUUUAAAUGCUGCACGCUCAUACUCUCUCCCGCACUCGAUAUAUUAUCCAUUGUUGAUCUGCAGACAGCUGUUGUCACGAAUGUCGCACUUGCUUACGUCACUGUCAUGAGACAUUCUCGCAAAAAAUCACGGUUUUAGUAACGCAGUAACGCAGCGUUCCUACGUGAAAGUAACGGUAAUCUAAUUACCGUUUUUGCAAUAGUAAUCUCUUACAUUACUCGUUACUUGAAAAAAGUAAUCAGAUUACAGUAACGCGUUACAAGUACUGCCCAUCUCUGAUAACGAAUAAUCCACAAUUUAACACAGAGUUGGCCUUUUAAAGGAAUGUGGUCCUAAACUUUUGAGCAGCUGUAAAACAGUCUGUUU